UACGGAGGGUGCGAGCGUUGUUCGGAUUUAUUGGGCGUAAAGCGCGUGUAGGCGGUUUUAUAAGUCUGAUGUGAAAGCCCCGGGCUCAACCUGGGAAGUGCAUUGGAUACUGUAAGACUUGAAUACGGGAGAGGGCAGUGGAAUUCCUGGUGUAGGAGUGAAAUCCGUAGAUAUCAGGAGGAACACCGGUGGCGAAGGCGGCUGCCUGGACCGAUAUUGACGCUGAGACGCGAAAGCGUGGGUAGCAAACAGG
Molecule: ribosomal RNA, 253 nt
Filed under: uncultured Geobacter sp.
Lineage: Bacteria; Pseudomonadati; Thermodesulfobacteriota; Desulfuromonadia; Geobacterales; Geobacteraceae
Also listed under: 1 other name
Description: partial 16S ribosomal RNA
Rfam family: Bacterial small subunit ribosomal RNA
Source: RNAcentral